UCUAUACAAAGCUAUCGCCGAAGGAGGGGUUUUGCGUCUGAUUAGCUGGUUGGAGGGGUAACGGCCCAACAAGGCGAUGAUCAGUAGCCGGUCUGAGAGGAUGAACGGCCACAUUGGGACUGAGACACGGCCCAGACUCCUACGGGAGGCAGCAGUGGGGAAUCUUCCGCAAUGGACGAAAGUCUGACGGAGCAACGCCGCGUGAGUGAAGAAGGUCUUCGGAUUGUAAAGCUCUGUUAUACGGGACGAAAAAGACGGAUGCCAACAGUAUCCGUCCGUGACGGUACCGUAAGAGAAAGCCACGGCUAACUACGUGCCAGCAGCCGCAGUAAAU
RNAcentral lists this ribosomal RNA (334 nucleotides) under uncultured Megasphaera sp. RNAcentral describes it as "bacterial SSU rRNA". It matches the Rfam family "Bacterial small subunit ribosomal RNA", at positions 196 to 525 of the family's 1533-position model. The record is from RNAcentral. Lineage: Bacteria; Bacillati; Bacillota; Negativicutes; Veillonellales; Veillonellaceae.